UUGGAGUUCAUGCAAGUUCUAACC
RNAcentral lists this non-coding RNA (24 nucleotides) under Drosophila melanogaster (fruit fly). RNAcentral also lists the same sequence under 4 other names. The record is from RNAcentral. Lineage: Eukaryota; Metazoa; Arthropoda; Insecta; Diptera; Drosophilidae.